UGUGAUCCUUCCAUUUUUAUGGUUGAACCUCCUAUGAUGAAAAACAAAAGAAAAACUAAAUAAAAAGUUUGUAGAAAACAAAAGGUCAAAAUUCUAUUUACCUUGUUGUCAUUUUGUUGACCCUGAGGAGGC
This is a small nucleolar RNA of Plasmodium malariae, 132 nucleotides long. NCBI's taxonomy places the organism in Eukaryota, Apicomplexa, Aconoidasida, Haemosporida, Plasmodiidae. The record is from RefSeq and is a predicted model, not a curated record.